This 329-nucleotide unclassified non-coding RNA is filed under the name Hevea brasiliensis (rubber tree). The record is from RNAcentral. Lineage: Eukaryota; Viridiplantae; Streptophyta; Magnoliopsida; Malpighiales; Euphorbiaceae.
UCGGCUUUCAAUUUGAGCCUCCCCAUCUACUUUGGCUUUGGAAAUCCUCAAGUUUCUGACAAAAGUGCCAGAACCAUUUGCAGUUUCCUGUGAGAAAGCAAGCUCAUCGAAUAGCUCUUCUCUUUAAGUUGUGGCAGAACAUGUAACGCUGUUAAUUCUGGUCCAACCCGUUGACAAACUGCCAUGAGAGUCGUAGCAGCAACCUGAAGCACUGAAAUUUCCAANNNNNNCUGCAUAAGAACAGUAACAUGUAAACAACUUUUAUCUUCAAUCAGCUCCUUUACAACUAACUCCCUUGGCAAAAGUGCAACUAGACCAUCUAAUGUGUU